AAGAGGAUGAAGUGCGUGAAGUUGAUGAUGAGAAUCUUGACCUGAACCAAGAAUUUGAAGAUCUGCAAUUAGGUCAGGGAGAAUUAUCUCGCAAUAUAGAUAAUUUGGUUUUGGGUUUUGAUGAUGGUGUUGAAGUUGCAAUACCCAGUGAUGAUUUCGAGAGGAACUCACGGAAUGAAGAAAGUGUAUUUGAUAGACCUGAAACCUCGGAAGGUGGAUCUAUAAAUGGGGUUCAAGUUAAUGAAAAAUGCCUUCAUCCUGGUCAAGGGGGGGCCCCUGGGGCAAGCUUGGAUAGCUCUUCUAACAGGGUCCAGGAAGCUGAAAAAACUAUGCAAGAAUCUGAAUUUAGACAGAGAACUGAACCUCACACUUCAGCAGCGUCACACCUAUUGGAUGGUAUUGAUGCUUAUUGUGGCCCUAGCCUAUGUGCUCAGCAAACUUUCUCAUCUGUUGGCACCCCAUGUUCUGUUGGUCAGACUAGUGUGUCAAGUUUAGCUUCUUCUAGUCAACCUGAUUUACCUGUUAAGCUUCAGUUUGGCCUGUUUUCUGGUCCUUCUUUGAUACCUUCACCAGUACCAGCUAUCCAAAUUGGUUCCAUUCAAAUGCCUCUUCAUCUUCAUCCACCAGUUGGUCCAUCCCUUACUCAUAUACAUCCAUCACAGCCUCCUAUCUUCCAAUUUGGUCAGCUCAG
RNAcentral lists this unclassified non-coding RNA (691 nucleotides) under Hevea brasiliensis (rubber tree). Lineage: Eukaryota; Viridiplantae; Streptophyta; Magnoliopsida; Malpighiales; Euphorbiaceae. The record is from RNAcentral.